AUCACUUCGGUACAGUCUAGCUUUGCUGUUAAAAAAAUUUACGAAAGUUGACGGAACGUCGAUUUCUUUCAAUCACGCGUUACCAGCUGGGAACAAGAAGAAACAACAGAGGAAGAAAUGAACAAAUUUGAGGAGUUGCUGUAGUUGCCGGGCGACGGGGCUUUAAAAAUGGCCGCUUGGUUUGUUUACAUUUUGCGAGCUGCAACCUGUGAUGGCUGAGCUUGAACGAGAGGGACGUGCUAGCUGAAAUUCGGCUCUCGUGGUUAAGGUUAGAUCAAAUCAAAGUGGCCACGGAAUGUGUUUUCUUAGCGUACGUGUCUUGAACCGCCGGAAAGGCAGCCUUUUCCCAGGAGACCGAAGAAACACCUGCCCGGCGGAGUCGUUGGCCUAGCCUGUUGGUGGCAUGUGCGUCUCGGCGAGCGAAAUAUGAGCAACUCGGACGAAGAUGCUUCCAAAUCGGCGUCUAGUCGCGAAAUUAGACACCUGACGCAUUCGGUCGAAGACAGUAUCGUCAGCAAAGUCAACGAGCUCUCAUCCGCGCUCCUCGACACGAGCACCAACAUUCACUGCUUGAACAGCAAAAUUCAAGCAUACCGCCAGGAACAAAAUGCUGCCGUUGAAGUGCUCAAAGAAAACGUUGACGUUUGCCUUAGGCAUAUUAGCAGUCGGGAGGCAACCACGCCACUGCAGUUGACGAGUGCACGGGACUCCCCUACAAACCCAUGGCGCAUGGUACGAGACAAAGAAACUACCAUCCUUGAACUCGAGAGAAAGAAUGACCACUUAAGGGCAAAGCUUGAGAGUGCGCAGGAAAAGCUGAAGGAGAAGUCAGACGAGCUGUUGACUUCGUCGAGGCUGCUCUCGGAGAAGUCACAGGAAGCGUUGCUGCUCCAAGACAGCCUCGUCAUAGCGGAAAGAAGACUAGCUGAAAGCCAACGAGAAGUUGAGAGGGCAGCGCUGCGUCUCCGGCACGUUGAAGAGGAUUCCGAGAAGCAGACGACACGAAUGAAAAACGAGAUUGCUCGCUUGGAACGUGAACUCCUCAACGAGAGAGAAAGGCAUUCAUCGAGUCUGCAGGGUUUGCAGCAGGAGUUGAAGCAGGUGCACCUUGAGUCAAGUUCGUGGCAAGAACGUUACAUGCGUGAAAAGCAGAAGACGUCUCAGUUGUCUGAAGAGAUAGCCCAGUCGAGAAUACAGCGUCAAAGGUUUCAAAAACCAGAUGGUGCCAGGAGUGAAGACGAUACUGACAAUCUGGAGAAGGGAAACAACCUAGUGCAGAGUCCGGAGUUGGAGGAUAUGAAGACGAAGUAUGAUGAUCUCAAGAAGGAAUUGACCCAGCUAAAGCGAAAAGUUGCUCAGAAUGGAAGUGCUCAAGAUUUCUCAGGGAUAGCCAGUCCUGAGGAGUUUAACAGGUUGAUCUUGGAGAAGCGGGACAUUGAAGAGGUGUGCCUGAGUUUCGAUCGCAAGUUUCAAAAGCAGACUCAAGUGUUGAAGAGACUGGAUCAAAUGCUGAAGGAGUCGGAAGGGAAAGUGGAAAAGCUGACUCAAGUGAAACUUGAAAAGCAGAAGAGCUACCAGGAUUUUGUGCAGUAUGUUGGAGAAAAGCUCGAUUUCGUUGUUGGAUUGCUUUCUAUACGCUCUGCGGACACCUUUCAAGCUUUGUUUGCCUCUGAACUUGCUGGGAAGCGGCCACUGUCUUUCCAGGUGGCAGAAAUUAAGAGCAAGUUUCACUGGGUAUUGCAAGAAAUACGGUCCCUGUGUCUCGGUGAGGCUGAGUUGAAAGCGCAAUCCAUUUCCUAUCCAUCACAGGCUCACCAUUGCAGCUCCAGCGGAUCUGAUCCGAAGGUGAAGGCAAAAAAGUUCUACCGGUCUUGAUACUGCUGCCUUUUGUUCUUUGCGUGCAAGCAUCCUUAAGUUACGGAUCGCAAAGCUGUUCAUGUCUGCACCUCACUAGAACGUUGUCUUGACUUCGUAUGGACAGGUAUGACUAUUUGUUAACGUAAACAUGUUCUGACAGCUCAUCAUGGUGAGCACAAACCUACAAAAUCAAAUUUUAUGUAAAUUUCUUGGCUCUAAAAGUUAAAUGUUUGCUCAUAUGCUGCAAGAAGUCUUUCCUUCAUGCUUUGUUCCUUUGGACAUGGUUGUUGCCAUAUCGAGCAAACGACGUACAUUUUUGUCGUGGGUAACUGUAAACACAAUAUAUUGAAUGUCAUUAUCUACCAAUGGCAUUAAGGUUUCUUGUGUAAUGGGAAUAUUUCCUGUGUUCCGUGGGACUACAGGUACUGAUUGCAAAGUGAUACUGUUGCUGUACCUGUGGCUUCUGUAUUACCUUGUUUUAUACGUAAGUUUUUGAUGGCAAGUCUUUCCACCUCCCCUGUGACUGUGAAUUAAAGGGACACUAAAGGCAAAUAACAAUUUACGUCAGAGUGAAAGCUCAAUGUAUGACAACUUCUAAAACGGCAAUAUUGUCAACAGCAGUGCCCUACUUACCGAGAAAUUAAUCUAAAUGUAUCACAUGAUGAGAGCCACGAGGGGGACAUUUUCGAAGUGAUCCCGAUGACGUAUGAGAGUCUGCCUACAAUAAAUCACUAGUAAUCAAACUAGCAGCAAUAAAAAAAGAACCUUCCGUGCAUCAAAAGACGUAAUAAAAUGCUGUUUGUUCGUUUCCGUUUGAUUCAUGGAAAAAAGAACCUCUGUGGCGUUGCCAUGGGGAACGGCGCGCGUGGUGCAAAGGGUUCGUUUUCGCCGAACUGCGCUUCGCCCGGCGCCCUGCUUCGCUCACGCGGUCGCAUCUCAGUGGUAGUUUCGGGAUCGCGUACUGCCGCGUGUGUUUUGCGCGCUCGUGAAAGUCGCUCUGACAGAAAGUUCGACAAAAUGCCGCAAGCAACGACGCCUGAACUACGAGCCCUCAGCAGCAUACCGCGUUCAUCGGGGCUCAAGUCGCUGAAUUGGAACCCAGCGUCGCGAGCCAAUGUCUCGUUGUCAAGUUCUCCGUCCACAUCCAUUGCGGUGAUUGCGGCAAGCUUCGAUGGCUUCGAUGACCGUUGUUGCUGCUGUGUGUCCCGCUACUUUCGCUCUGCUGCUACUAGUGUCGGCGGCCGCGCAGUACGGGCGGGCAACGUUGGGCACGGCAGCAGUGACGUAUGAAAGUCGGAUUUCAGGCGGGUGAUUUGAAGAGCGCUAACGCGAUGCGGACCACUAAAACGUGAUUUUAUUUCAAAAUAAGCACUUCUUUGGCAUAAAAGUAGCACUAUGAGGUUUCUGGACCGCUAUUUCAACAAUCAACGUCGAUUUAAUAUUUGCCUUUGGUGUGCCUUUAAGCACUGUGUCGUGUUGAUCUCCUUGGCAAGGGCUUGCUCUUCUUUUGUGUUUGGAACUUAUUGUGGUGUAUUUUUAGUAUUUGCCAUAGACUCAUGAUUUAUGAUGACGUAUUUUUUUUAACACCGCAGCUUUUUACUGGCAAGGUUGCUGCUUUGUUGUACCAUAGAUGCGAGUAUUUAUUUUUGUCAUUUUAUAAUAAUAUGUUUGGUUUGUUGCACAUGUCGAAUGUGAUUAGCAAGGCAUUCCAGCUUAUGCGUUUUGACAGGGUCAGGCCGUUUUGUGAUGUUUACUACUUACAUCUACUUAUGAGACAGUAGUUUAGUUUUAUCUUUAUCUGAUGGUUAUCUUAUCUUUAUGAUUAUGGUGUAGUAAUGUUUUUAGUUGAAACAUGCAGUUUGAAACACUUCUUACUUUGAUAAAGUUUUACAGAAGUAAGCUUAUCUUGAUCCCAGUCAAGACAGUUAACCUCCAGCAGCUACUUGAUGACUGAGUGUUUGAAGAAGAAAGCAUAGAUGUAGAAUGGCUAUGAACGUUCACUUCAUGUGUUAUAUGUAGAUGCCGACGGAAACUUUUGUGACACAUUCGGCAUAGUAGAGACUGUAAGAGGUGUUGUGCCAGGCAGUUGAUGUUAUCAGAGUGUUUCACUCUGGUGCAUGAUAGUCAUUCCUUAGUGUACAAUUUUAGACUGGGGUGUGCACAACAGGUUCAUUUUUUUUAUGAAAGUCCUGUUGAGGUCUGUUCUCAGAACAACUACAUGACAUUUUGUUAGUGCUCAUACAUUUUGUGAUUUUCCUGCAUUUGCAGCAUACUUGAACGAACGAACAAAAAAAGUUUUAGUCUUGAGAAUAAAGGUGCAGUAUUGUUGAAAUCUGUCACUUGCCAUUUUUUAUCUGACUCAUUUUGAUCAGUGUUUUCGUGUACCUGUAGCAGUUUCUCAGUGGUUGUGGUGUUGCACUGCUGAGUGCAAGGUCGCGGAUUCGUUUCCGGUUGCGGUGGCCUCAUUAUGAAGUGUGCUAAAUGCAGAAACACUCGUUUGCCUUGCGUUGUUAGUGAGUGCUAGUAAAAUAAAAUAUGUAAUGAUCGUCGCGCCACCCGGCGGAGCAGAUCUCAACCACGCGCUUGUUUCGACGUGGCCUCUGGGAUCCGCUUCGGCAAACUGUACGAUAUCGCUGGUUCUGGUUGAAGUUAAGAACUAUAUUGAAAUGUAAUAUCGGAGCAUAAAUUUACCAA
Rhipicephalus sanguineus (brown dog tick) is the source of this 4551-nucleotide RNA transcript. It is a transcript of the gene named cingulin, with no coding region annotated. Lineage: Eukaryota; Metazoa; Arthropoda; Arachnida; Ixodida; Ixodidae. The transcript has 19 exons. The record is from RefSeq and is a predicted model, not a curated record.